Molecule: long non-coding RNA, 514 nt
Organism: Drosophila nasuta
Lineage: Eukaryota; Metazoa; Arthropoda; Insecta; Diptera; Drosophilidae
Exons: 3
Source: RefSeq, a predicted model, not a curated record
AUGAAUUUACUUUGUUUAUUUGCAAUUUUGUUUAUUAAGUGUUGCGUGAAGAAGAUGUAAUGAUUUAGCAUUCAUAAACAAAUAUGUACAUAUAACAUAAACGAAAAAUAUUCUAGUCAGAAUAUUGAUGUAUGAAAAUUGUUUUAGACAGACCAGCUGUCGGUCGGUGCCUUGUCGAUGUCUCCAUGAAAAUAGUUAAUGGAUGAAAUGGAAAAAGGAAUGAAUGAAAUGGAAAGGAAGUUUAUCACUAUCAUAUUGUGAUUAUUUUUCGAAAUUUCCCUUCACGACAGAUUCACUGAAAAAAGAAUUAAAAGAUCUGCAACGUACUAUUAAUAAAGCAACUGAACAGAUAACAUCAUUAAUAUAAGACCAAUUGCAUUAGAAGAAAAAUAAAAUCCGACAAAAUGGGAGACAAGGUAAUAUAGACACAUUCAGGGGCUGUUCUUUAAAAUGCCGGCGGGACAAUUGGAUAAAUUACAUUCAUGCCAAGCCACAAUUAUCCAUUUAGUACAUU